Long non-coding RNA from Bactrocera neohumeralis, 669 nucleotides. RefSeq lists it as uncharacterized. NCBI's taxonomy places the organism in Eukaryota, Metazoa, Arthropoda, Insecta, Diptera, Tephritidae. The record is from RefSeq and is a predicted model, not a curated record. The transcript has 2 exons.
GGCGUCAUCGCGCACAUAACGGUAAGGCUGGUAAUGGUGUGGCUUUCGAAAAUCCAACAUACACACGCGGUCUGGAGCAAGUUCAGCUGCCCACAGUGACAUCGGUCGCCACGCAUGCCGGUACCACCGCCCAAUCGGCGCAACGUGAUGGCAUCGUCAACGAUGCGAACGCGGACGCGCACACACAAUGCAACGAAGUAGAUCCGACAAUUUACGAAGAGCUCAAACUUGGCCAAGAAGGUGCUGGAUUCAAGAAACUUGUGCCAUAAAUGCCAAAAUGUCCAAUAAAACUCAAACACAAACAAGCACACACACUCACACGGGUGUACACAUACAAAAAAAUGCUUAUAUAUACACAAAAAAAAGGUUGAAGUGAUUACAAAAACAAACGAAAUGACAAAAAGUUGAAUGAAAAAAGCUGCUUAGCUAACGGUACAAGCAACAGCUAGCCAAUGCGAGCAAAACUAUAACAGCGACACACAUACAAACGCACAAAAAACAUAGAAACUCAAGUCACACACACGAAAGCAUUUUCGCACGCACACUAUUACAAAAGUCGUAGCUAGCAGCUGCUGGUAUUUUUAUUAUAGUUGUAUGACGCUAGCAUACUUAGGCGUAUACGUAACUUUUUAAAUGCAAAAAAAAAAAUCACAAAAUAAUUAGAGAAAA